Molecule: ribosomal RNA, 254 nt
Filed under: uncultured bacterium
Lineage: Bacteria
Description: partial 16S ribosomal RNA
Rfam family: Bacterial small subunit ribosomal RNA
Source: RNAcentral
UACGGGGGGAGCAAGCGUUGUUCGGAUUUACUGGGCGUAAAGGGCGCGCAGGCGGCCACCCCACCCCAGUUGCGAAAUCUCUGGGCUUAACCCAGAAAGGUCAACUGAUACUGCGGGGCUAGAGUGCAGAAGGGGCAACUGGAAUUCUCGGUGUAGCGGUGAAAUGCGUAGAUAUCGAGAGGAACACCUGCGGCGAAGGCGGGUUGCUGGGCUGACACUGACGCUGAGGCGCGAAAGCUAGGGGAGCGAACGGG